AGUGAACGCUGGCGGUAGGCCUAACACAUGCAAGUCGAACGGCAGCACAGUAAGAGCUUGCUCUUACGGGUGGCGAGUGGCGGACGGGUGAGGAAUACAUCGGAAUCUACUUUUUCGUGGGGGAUAACGUAGGGAAACUUACGCUAAUACCGCAUACGACCUACGGGUGAAAGCAGGGGAUCUUCGGACCUUGCGCGAUUGAAUGAGCCGAUGUCGGAUUAGCUAGUUGGCGGGGUAAAGGCCCACCAAGGCGACGAUCCGUAGCUGGUCUGAGAGGAUGUUCAGCCACACUGGAACUGAGACACGGUCCAGACUCCUACGGGAGGCAGCAGUGGGGAAUAUUGGACAAUGGGUGCAAGCCUGAUCCAGCCAUACCGCGUGGGUGAAGAAGGCCUUCGGGUUGUAAAGCCCUUUUGUUGGGAAAGAAAAGCAGCAGGUUAAUACCCCGCUGUUCUGACGGUACCCAAAGAAUAAGCACCGGCUAACUUCGUG
Molecule: ribosomal RNA, 492 nt
Filed under: uncultured bacterium
Lineage: Bacteria
Description: partial 16S ribosomal RNA
Rfam family: Bacterial small subunit ribosomal RNA
Source: RNAcentral